This 909-nucleotide ribosomal RNA is filed under the name Weissella koreensis. Its description in RNAcentral is "bacterial SSU rRNA". It matches the Rfam family "Bacterial small subunit ribosomal RNA", at positions 60 to 922 of the family's 1533-position model. Lineage: Bacteria; Bacillati; Bacillota; Bacilli; Lactobacillales; Lactobacillaceae. The record is from RNAcentral.
AGUCGAACGCAUUGUGGUUGAAAUGAUAUGAAGAACUUGUUCAGAUUUGAUUUUCAACAUUGCAAUGAGUGGCGAACGGGUGAGUAACACGUGGGAAACCUACCUCUUAGCAGGGGAUAACAUUUGGAAACAAAUGCUAAUACCGUAUAAUAAUUAAAACCGCAUGGUUUUAGUUUAAAAGAUGGUCUUGCUAUCACUAAGAGAUGGUCCCGCGGUGUAUUAGUUAGUUGGUGAGGUAAUGGCUCACCAAGACAAUGAUACAUAGCCGAGUUGAGAGACUGACCGGCCACAAUGGGACUGAGACACGGCCCAUACUCCUACGGGAGGCAGCAGUAGGGAAUCUUCCACAAUGGACGAAAGUCUGAUGGAGCAACGCCGCGUGUGUGAUGAAGGGUUUCGGCUCGUAAAACACUGUUGUAAGAGAAGAAUGACAUUGAGAGUAACUGUUCAAUGUGUGACGGUAUCUUACCAGAAAGGAACGGCUAAAUACGUGCCAGCAGCCGCGGUAAUACGUAUGUUCCAAGCGUUAUCCGGAUUUAUUGGGCGUAAAGCGAGCGCAGACGGUUAUUUAAGUCUGAAGUGAAAGCCCUCGGCUCAACCGAGGAAUUGCUUUGGAAACUGGAUAACUUGAGUGCAGUAGAGGAAAGUGGAACUCCAUGUGUAGCGGUGAAAUGCGUAGAUAUAUGGAAGAACACCAGUGGCGAAGGCGGCUUUCUGGACUGUAACUGACGUUGAGGCUCGAAAGUGUGGGUAGCAAACAGGAUUAGAUACCCUGGUAGUCCACACUGUAAACGAUGAGUGCUAGUUGUUCGAGGGUUUCCGCCCUUGAGUGACGAAGCUAACGCAUUAAGCACUCCGCCUGGGGAGUACGACCGCAAGGUUGAAACUCAAAGGAAUUGACGGGGACCC